RNAcentral lists this ribosomal RNA (253 nucleotides) under uncultured bacterium. Its description in RNAcentral is "partial 16S ribosomal RNA". It matches the Rfam family "Bacterial small subunit ribosomal RNA", at positions 524 to 776 of the family's 1533-position model. The record is from RNAcentral.
UACGUAGGGUGCAAGCGUUGUCCGGAAUUAUUGGGCGUAAAGAGCUCGUAGGCGGUUUGUCGCGUCCGCUGUGAAAACUCGGGGCUUAACCCCGGGCCUGCAGUGGGUACGGGCAGACUAGAGUGCGGUAGGGGAGACUGGAAUUCCUGGUGUAGCGGUGAAAUGCGCAGAUAUCAGGAGGAACACCGGUGGCGAAGGCGGGUCUCCGGGCCGUAACUGACGCUGAGGAGCGAAAGCGUGGGGAGCGAACAGG